This 523-nucleotide ribosomal RNA is filed under the name uncultured bacterium. RNAcentral's name for it is "bacterial SSU rRNA". It matches the Rfam family "Bacterial small subunit ribosomal RNA", at positions 1 to 507 of the family's 1533-position model. The record is from RNAcentral.
CGAAAAGUACUAUCAAUUAAAUAAAAUGGUGAAACAAAAGAAUAGCGAAGAAGAAGCAAAUGCGCUUCACGCUAAUUCCAAGUACCAACACAAAACAAAUUCAAUGUUUGGUGAAGCAACUUGCUUAGUGGCGGACGGGUGAGUAACGCGUGAACAAUCUGCCCCGUACAAAGGGAUAGCCUCGGGAAACCGGGAUUAAAACCAUAUAACACUUAACUGCCGCAUGGUAGUGAAGUCAAAUCGAGUAAGAGGUAUGGGAUGAGUUCGCGUCUGAUUAGCUAGUUGGUGAGGUAAGGGCUCACCAAGGCGACGAUCAGUAGCCGGCCUGAGAGGGUGAACGGCCACACUGGAACUGAGACACGGUCCAGACUCCUACGGGAGGCAGCAGUGGGGAAUAUUGCACAAUGGAGGGAACUCUGAUGCAGCGACGCCGCGUGAGUGAAGAAGGUCUUCGGAUCGUAAAACUCUGUCCUUGGUGAAGAAAAGGACGGUAGCCAAGGAGGAAGCCCCGGCUAACUACGUG